RNAcentral lists this ribosomal RNA (650 nucleotides) under uncultured Bacilli bacterium. RNAcentral describes it as "bacterial SSU rRNA". It matches the Rfam family "Bacterial small subunit ribosomal RNA", at positions 80 to 716 of the family's 1533-position model. The record is from RNAcentral. Lineage: Bacteria; Bacillati; Bacillota; Bacilli.
GCACUGGUCAAUCUAGUGGCGAACGGGUGAGUAACACGUGGGUAACCUGCCCAUCAGAGGGGGAUAACAUUCGGAAACGGAUGCUAAAACCGCAUAGGUCUUCGAACCGCAUGGUUUGAAGAGGAAAAGAGGCGCAAGCUUCUGCUGAUGGAUGGACCCGCGGUGCAUUAGCUAGUUGGUGAGGUAAUGGCUCACCAAGGCCGUGAUGCAUAGCCGACCUGAGAGGGUGAUCGGCCACAUUGGGACUGAGACACGGCCCAAACUCCUACGGGAGGCAGCAGUAGGGAAUCUUCCGCAAUGGACGCAAGUCUGACGGAGCAACGCCGCGUGAGUGAAGAAGGUUUUCGGAUCGUAAAACUCUGUUGUUAGAGAAGAACAAGUGCUAGAGUAACUGUUAGCGCCUUGACGGUAUCUAACCAGAAAGCCACGGCUAACUACGUGCCAGCAGCCGCGGUAAUACGUAGGUGGCAAGCGUUGUCCGGAUUUAUUGGGCGUAAAGCGAGCGCAGGCGGUUCCUUAAGUCUGAUGUGAAAGCCCCCGGCUCAACCGGGGAGGGUCAUUGGAAACUGGGGAACUUGAGUGCAGAAGAGGAGAGUGGAAUUCCAUGUGUAGCGGUGAAAUGCGUAGAUAUAUGGAGGAACACCAGUGGC